This 161-nucleotide transfer RNA is filed under the name Candidatus Woesearchaeota archaeon. RNAcentral's name for it is "tRNA-Gly". Lineage: Archaea; Nanobdellati; Candidatus Woesearchaeota. The record is from RNAcentral.
GCGUCGGUGGUCUAACGGCUACGCGCUAGAAUCAAAGAUUCGCUGGCUUACAGCGCUAGCGCGCUGUAAAUGACUGCGGCCUUCCAAGCCGCCUAUCCGGGUUCGAACAACUGAUGCUUGCCCUUAAAGCGAGCGCAGCUUUGAAAGUCCCGGCCGACGCA